CCUACGGGAGGCUGCAGUGGGGGAUAUUGCACAAUGGGGGGAACCCUGAUGCAGCGACGCCGCGUGGGUGAAGAAGCGCCUCGGCGCGUACAGCCCUGUCAGCAGGGAAGAAAAUGACGGUACCUGAAGCAGAAGCCCCGGCUAACUACGUGCCAGCAGCCGCGGUAAUACGUAGGGGGCCAGCGUUAUCCGGAUUUACUGGGUGUAAAGGGGGCGCAGACGGCGAGGCAAGCCAGGAGUGAAAGCCCGGGGCCCAACCCCGGGACUGCUCUUGGAACUGCGUGGCUGGAGUGCAGGAGGGGCAGGCGGAAUUCCUGGUGUAGCGGUGAAAUGCGUAGAUAUCAGGAGGAACACCGGUGGCGAAGGCGGCCUGCUGGACUACAACUGACGUUGAGGCCCGAAAGCGUGGGGAGCAAACAGGAUUAGAUACCCUAGUAGUC
RNAcentral lists this ribosomal RNA (440 nucleotides) under uncultured bacterium. RNAcentral's name for it is "partial 16S ribosomal RNA". It matches the Rfam family "Bacterial small subunit ribosomal RNA", at positions 338 to 795 of the family's 1533-position model. The record is from RNAcentral.